CCGCAGGCCCGCUCUGUCGCCGCCGGGUGACCGGGGGAGGAAAGUCCGGGCAACGCAGAGCGCCGCGCAAGCUAACGACUUGAUAUCCGUGAGGGUAUGGGAGCGUAACAGAGAACGACCGCCUGCCGGGUUUCCCGGCCGGUAAGGGUGAAAAGGCGGGGUAAGAGCCCACCGCGGGGGCAGCGAUGCCGCCCGGCCGUACGUCCCGCGGGUUGCAAGACCGUGUAUACCGGCAAACGAGGGCUGCUCGUCCGAUGCCGGGGGGUAGGUUGCUGGAGACGGCGGGUGACCGCCGUCGUAGAUAAAUGACAGGGGCCCGGAACGCGAGUUUCGGGAACAGAACCCGGCUUACAGGGCCUGCAAAAAA
Molecule: RNase P RNA, 367 nt
Filed under: Alistipes sp.
Lineage: Bacteria; Pseudomonadati; Bacteroidota; Bacteroidia; Bacteroidales; Rikenellaceae
Description: RNase P RNA component class A
Rfam family: Bacterial RNase P class A
About the family: Ribonuclease P (RNase P) is a ubiquitous endoribonuclease, found in archaea, bacteria and eukarya as well as chloroplasts and mitochondria. Its best characterised activity is the generation of mature 5'-ends of tRNAs by cleaving the 5'-leader elements of precursor-tRNAs. Cellular RNase Ps are ribonucleoproteins.
Source: RNAcentral